This 993-nucleotide ribosomal RNA is filed under the name Distoseptispora lignicola. Its description in RNAcentral is "Distoseptispora sp. DMH-2018a partial large subunit ribosomal RNA". It matches the Rfam family "Eukaryotic large subunit ribosomal RNA", at positions 74 to 1095 of the family's 3401-position model. Lineage: Eukaryota; Fungi; Ascomycota; Sordariomycetes; Distoseptisporaceae. The record is from RNAcentral.
AUUGCCCCAGUAACGGCGAGUGAAGCGGCAACAGCUCAGAUUUGAAAUCUGGCCCUUACGGGGUCCGAGUUGUAAUCUGUAGAGGAUGCUUUUGGCGACGCGCCUUCCGAGUCCCCUGGAACGGGGCGCCAUAGAGGGUGAGAGCCCCGUAUGGUUGGACGCUGAACCUCUGUAAAGCUCCUUCGACGAGUCGAGUAGUUUGGGAAUGCUGCUCAAAAUGGGAGGUAAAUUUCUUCUAAAGCUAAAUACCGGCCAGAGACCGAUAGCGCACAAGUAGAGUGAUCGAAAGAUGAAAAGCACUUUGAAAAGAGGGUUAAAUAGCACGUGAAAUUGCUGAAAGGGAAGCGCUUGUGACCAGACUUGCGCCCGGUUGAUCAUCCAGCGUUCUCGCUGGUGCACUCUGCCGGGCUCAGGCCAGCAUCGGCUCUCCCAGGGGGAUAAAGGUCGCGGGAACGUAGCUCUCUCCGGGGAGUGUUAUAGCCCGUGGCGGAAUGCCCUUAGGGGGGGCCGAGGCCCGCGUUCGCAAGGAUGCUGGCGUAAUGGUCACCAGCGACCCGUCUUGAAACACGGACCAAGGAGUCAAGCAUUAGGGCGAGUCUUUGGGUGUAAAACCCGCAGGCGCAAUGAAAGUGAACGGAGGUGAGAGCUUCGGCGCAUCAUCGACCGAUCCUGAUGUUCUCGGAUGGAUUUGAGUAAGAGCCUUACCGCUUGGACCCGAAAGAUGGUGAACUAUGCCUGAAUAGGGUGAAGCCAGAGGAAACUCUGGUGGAGGCUCGCAGCGGUUCUGACGUGCAAAUCGAUCGUCAAAUUUGGGCAUGGGGGCGAAAGACUAAUCGAACCAUCUAGUAGCUGGUUACCGCCGAAGUUUCCCUCAGGAUAGCAGUGUUGUCUUCAGUUUUAUGAGGUAAAGCGAAUGAUUAGGGACUCGGGGGCGCUAUUUAGCCUUCAUCCAUUCUCAAACUUUAAAUAUGUAAGAAGCCCUUGUUGCUUAGU